UACGUAGGGCGCAAGCGUUGUCCGGAAUUAUUGGGCGUAAAGAGCUCGUAGGCGGUCUGUCGCGUCCGUUGUGAAAACUCGAGGCUCAACCUCGGGCUUGCAGUGGAUACGGGCAGACUAGAGUGCGGUAGGGGAGACUGGAAUUCCUGGUGUAGCGGUGGAAUGCGCAGAUAUCAGGAGGAACACCGAUGGCGAAGGCAGGUCUCUGGGCCGCAACUGACGCUGAGGAGCGAAAGCGUGGGGAGCAAACAGG
RNAcentral lists this ribosomal RNA (253 nucleotides) under uncultured bacterium. RNAcentral describes it as "partial 16S ribosomal RNA". It matches the Rfam family "Bacterial small subunit ribosomal RNA", at positions 524 to 776 of the family's 1533-position model. The record is from RNAcentral.